This 471-nucleotide ribosomal RNA is filed under the name uncultured organism. RNAcentral's name for it is "partial 16S ribosomal RNA". It matches the Rfam family "Bacterial small subunit ribosomal RNA", at positions 334 to 797 of the family's 1533-position model. The record is from RNAcentral.
CACUCCUGCGGGAGGCAGCAGUGGGGAAUUUUGGACAAUGGGCGAAAGCCUGAUCCAGCAAUGCCGCGUGAGUGAAGAAGGCCUUCGGGUUGUAAAGCUCUUUUGUCAGGGAAGAAACGGUGAAAGCUAAUAUCUUUUGGUAAUGACGGUACCUGAAGAAUAAGCACCGGCUAACUACGUGCCAGCAGCCGCGGUAAUACGUAGGGUGCAAGCGUUAAUCGGAAUUACUGGGCGUAAAGCGUGCGCAGGCGGUUUUGUAAGUCUGAUGUGAAAUCCCCGGGCUCAACCUGGGAAUUGCAUUGGAGACUGCAAGGCUAGAAUCUGGCAGAGGGGGGUAGAAUUCCACGUGUAGCAGUGAAAUGCGUAGAUAUGUGGAGGAACACCGAUGGCGAAGGCAGCCCCCUGGGUCAAGAUUGACGCUCAUGCACGAAAGCGUGGGGAGCAAACAGGAUUAGAUACCCCGGUAGUCCC